UCGAGAAUCUUCCGCAAUGGACGAAAGUCUGACGGAGCGACGCCGCGUGGAGGAUGAAGUGCUUCGGUAUGUAAACUCCUUUUGCCAGGGAAAAAGUUUAUUGAUGGUACCUGGAGAAUAAGAGGUUGCUAAACUCGUGCCAGCAGCAGCGGUAAUACGAGUGCCUCGAGCGUUAUCCGGAAUCAUUGGGCGUAAAGGGUGUGUAGGCGGUUUGAUUAGUCUCGUGUAAAAUUCUUCGGCUCAACCGGGGGCGCGCACGGGAAACGGUCAGACUAAGAGGAUGGAAGGGGUCUCUGGAACUCAUGGUGUAGCGGUGAAAUGCGUUGAUAUCAUGGGGAACACCAAAAGCGAAGGCAAGAGACUGGUCCAUUUCCUGACGCUGAAACACGAAAGCGUGGGUCGCGAAUGGGAUUAGAUACCCCCGUAGUCC
Molecule: ribosomal RNA, 430 nt
Filed under: uncultured bacterium
Lineage: Bacteria
Description: bacterial SSU rRNA
Rfam family: Bacterial small subunit ribosomal RNA
Source: RNAcentral